Molecule: ribosomal RNA, 497 nt
Filed under: uncultured bacterium
Lineage: Bacteria
Description: partial 16S ribosomal RNA
Rfam family: Bacterial small subunit ribosomal RNA
Source: RNAcentral
GAUGAACGCUGGCGGCGUGCCUAAUACAUGCAAGUCGAGCGAACGGACGAGAAGCUUGCUUCUCUGAUGUUAGCGGCGGACGGGUGAGUAACACGUGGAUAACCUACCUAUAGGACUGGGAUAACUUCGGGAAACCGUAGCUAAUACCGGAUAAUAUUUUGAACCGCAUGGUUCAAAAGUGAAAGACGGUCUUGCUGUCACUUAUAGAUGGAUCCGCGCUGCAUUAGCUAGUUGGUAAGGUAACGGCUUACCAAGGCAACGAUGCAUAGCCGACCUGAGAGGGUGAUCGGCCACACUGGAACUGAGACACGGUCCAGACUCCUACGGGAGUCAGCAGUAGGGAAUCUUCCGCAAUGGGCGAAAGCCUGACGGAGCAACGCCGCGUGAGUGAUGAAGGUCUUCGGAUCGUAAAACUCUGUUAUUAGGGAAGAACAUAUGUGUAAGUAACUGUGCACAUCUUGACGGUACCUAAUCAGAAAGCCACGGCUAACUACGUG